CUAUUGUGACGGACCGCCUGGCACCCAAACUGGGUGCCUCCGCCAAUCGAUGCUCGUAGUGCUUACUGAGUACUUCAAGCACCUCACCAGACAACAUCAGCACUGUAGUCCCCGCUUCCAGCGUUACAGCUUGGUUGGUGUCUCAUUGUCUCCAAGCCCAGGAUCCACCUUCCAGUGGGUAGACCUGAGUCAUGGACUGUACUAACUCAAUUAUCUCCAUGCAGAAAAAUAUUUUUACAAACCCUG
This is a non-coding RNA of Pelobates cultripes (western spadefoot toad), 246 nucleotides long. The record is from the annotation of a GenBank genome assembly. Lineage: Eukaryota; Metazoa; Chordata; Amphibia; Anura; Pelobatidae.